AAUGGGGAAACCCAGUGUGACUCGUCACACUAUCAUUAACUGAAUCCAUAGGUUAAUGAGGCGAACCGGGGGAACUGAAACAUCUAAGUACCCCGAGGAAAAGAAAUCAACCGAGAUUCCCCCAGUAGCGGCGAGCGAACGGGGAGGAGCCCAGAGCCUGAAUCAGCAUGUGUGUUAGUGGAAGCGUCUGGAAAGGCGCGCGAUACAGGGUGACAGCCCCGUACACAAAAGCGCAUGUGCUGUGAGCUCGAUGAGUAGGGCGGGACACGUGGUAUCCUGUCUGAAUAUGGGGGGACCAUCCUCCAAGGCUAAAUACUCCUGACUGACCGAUAGUGAACCAGUACCGUGAGGGAAAGGCGAAAAGAACCCCGGCGAGGGGAGUGAAAAAGAACCUGAAACCGUGUACGUACAAGCAGUGGGAG
This 422-nucleotide ribosomal RNA is filed under the name Salmonella enterica subsp. enterica serovar Tennessee. RNAcentral describes it as "bacterial LSU rRNA". It matches the Rfam family "Bacterial large subunit ribosomal RNA", at positions 117 to 579 of the family's 2925-position model. Lineage: Bacteria; Pseudomonadati; Pseudomonadota; Gammaproteobacteria; Enterobacterales; Enterobacteriaceae. The record is from RNAcentral.